This 403-nucleotide ribosomal RNA is filed under the name Fusobacteriota bacterium. RNAcentral describes it as "Fusobacteria bacterium partial 16S ribosomal RNA". It matches the Rfam family "Bacterial small subunit ribosomal RNA", at positions 355 to 776 of the family's 1533-position model. The record is from RNAcentral. Lineage: Bacteria; Fusobacteriati; Fusobacteriota.
UGGGGAAUAUUGCACAAUGGGGGAAACCCUGAUGCAGCGACGCCGCGUGAGCGAAGAAGGUUUUCGAAUCGUAAAGCUCUGUCCUAUGGGAAGAUAAUGACGGUACCAUAGGAGGAAGCUCCGGCUAACUACGUGCCAGCAGCCGCGGUAAUACGUAGGGGGCAAGCGUUGUCCGGAAUCACUGGGCGUAAAGGGUUCGCAGGCGGAAAUGCAAGUCAGUUGUGAAAGGCAGAGGCUCAACCUCUGUAAGCAAUUGAAACUGUAUUUCUUGAGAUGUGGAGAGGCAAGUGGAAUUCCGAGUGUAGCGGUGAAAUGCGUAGAUAUUAGGAAGAAUACCGGUGGCGAAGGCGACUUGCUGGACACAAACUGACGCAGAGGAACGAAAGAGGGAGUAGCAAACAGG